GACGAACGCUGGCGGCGUGCUUAACACAUGCAAGUCGAACGGAAAGGCCCUGCUUUUGUGGGGUGCUCGGGUGGCGAAUGGGUGAGUAACACGUGAGUAACCUGCUCUUGACUUUGGGAUAACUUCAGGAAACUGGGGCUAAUACCGGAUAGGAGCUCCUGCUGCAUGGUGGGGGUUGGAAAGUUUCGGCGGUUGGGGAUGGACUCGCGGCUUAUCAGCUUGUUGGUGGGGUAGUGGCUUACCAAGGCUUUGACGGGUAGCCGGCCUGAGAGGGUGACCGGCCACAUUGGGACUGAGAUACGGCCCAGACUCCUACGGGAGGCAGCAGUGGGGAAUAUUGCACAAUGGGCGGAAGCCUGAUGCAGCAACGCCGCGUGCGGGAUGACGGCCUUCGGGUUGUAAACCGCUUUCGCCUGUGACGAAGCGUGAGUGACGGUAAUGGGUAAAGAAGCACCGGCUAACUACGUG
Molecule: ribosomal RNA, 468 nt
Filed under: uncultured bacterium
Lineage: Bacteria
Description: partial 16S ribosomal RNA
Rfam family: Bacterial small subunit ribosomal RNA
Source: RNAcentral